This 533-nucleotide long non-coding RNA is filed under the name Triticum aestivum (bread wheat). RNAcentral's name for it is "long non-coding RNA (TAES_LNC001869)". The record is from RNAcentral. Lineage: Eukaryota; Viridiplantae; Streptophyta; Magnoliopsida; Poales; Poaceae.
AAUAAUCCAGAUCAUUCUCGCAAAUUAUGCAAAGACCAUGGCUCAUACUUCGCUAAGAAGCAUUUGGCCAGCAUGGGCAUCUCAUGCAUCGAGCAACUGAAAGCACAAAACUCCACAGCAAUCCUGGAUUAUUGUCACUAACUCACCACAACCUCCAUCUCAUGCAUCAAGCAACUGAAAGCACAAAACUCCACAGCAAUCCUGGAUUAUUGUCACUAACUCACCACAACCUCCAUACAUCAAGCAAGCCAUUAUUCGAAAACAAAAAACAUCCACCGGAUUUAUUGCACAGGCAGCAUGAUCUAAAGUUGAAACCCCCUCCACUCACAUGUGAUAGUUGAGGUCACUGCCAAUGCAGCGAUCCAGAGCAAACACAUCAUGGAGACACCAAGGGAUUGAACACAUGACCGACGAAUAGCACCACGCCUGUGAGGUCUUCUCGGAUAAGGAAGAGGAAAGGGUGAUCCGCGACGAAAUCCACCUUCACGGGCUCUACUGGCAGUGACCUAAGUGUGACCACAGAAGCAGUUGCC